This 313-nucleotide ribosomal RNA is filed under the name Scymnus acidotus. RNAcentral's name for it is "LSU rRNA". It matches the Rfam family "Eukaryotic large subunit ribosomal RNA", at positions 666 to 944 of the family's 3401-position model. Lineage: Eukaryota; Metazoa; Arthropoda; Insecta; Coleoptera; Coccinellidae. The record is from RNAcentral.
CCAAGGAGUCUAGCGUGUGCGCGAGUCAUUGGGAUAACACUAAACCUAAAGGCGCAAUGAAAGUAAAAGUUCGUCUAGCGCGAACCGAGGGAAGACGGUUGGUCCAAUUCGGACUGGCCCGCAUUCCCGGGGCGUCUCGUUCUCAUUGCGAGAAGAGGCGCACCAAGAGCGUACACGCUGGGACCCGAAAGAUGGUGAACUAUGCCUGGUCAGGACGAAGUCAGGGGAAACCCUGAUGGAGGUCCGUAGCGAUUCUGACGUGCAAAUCGAUCGUCGGAACUGGGUAUAGGGGCGAAAGACUAAUCGAACCAUC